ACUGCUCAGUAACACGUGGCUAACCUACCUUUAGGACGGGGACAACCCCGGGAAACUGGGGCUAAUACCCGAUAGGUGAGGACGUCUGGAAUGGCCCUUCACCCAAAGGAUGUUGCAACCAUGCACGCCAUGUCGCCUAAAGAUGGGGCCGCGACCGAUCAGGCAGUUGGCGAGAUAAAGGCUCACCAAACCUAUAACCGGUACGGGCCGUGAGAGCGGGAGCCCGGAGAUGGGCACUGAGACAAGGGCCCAGGUCCUACGGGGCGCAGCAGUUACGAAACCUCGCCAAUGCGCGAAAGCGUGAGCGGGCUACCCCGAGUGCUAUCCGCUGAGGACGGCUUUUCCCUAGCGUAAUGAACUGGGGGAAUAAGGAGAGGGCAAGACUGGUGUCAGCCGCCGCGGUAAUACCAGCUCUCCGAGUGGUAGGGAUGAUUAUUGGGCUUAAAGCGUCCGUAGCUGGCUUGGCAAGUCUCUCGUUAAAUCCAACGACUUAAUCGCUGGACUGCGAGAGCUACUGUUAGGCUAGGAGGCGGGAGAGGUCGACGGUAUUCCUGGGGUAGGGGUGAAAUCCUAUAAUCCCGGGAGGACCACCAGUGGCGAAGGCUGUCGGCUAGAACGCGCUCGACAGUGAGGGACGAAAGCUGGGGGAGCGAACCGGAUUAGAUACCCGGGUAGUCCCAGCUGUAAACGAUGCGGGCUAGGUGUUGGGGUGGCCACGAGCCACUUCAGUGCCGCAGCGAAGGCAUUAAGCCCGCCGCCUGGGGAGUACGGCCGCAAGGCUGAACUUAAAGGAAUUGGCGGGGGAGCAC
RNAcentral lists this ribosomal RNA (809 nucleotides) under uncultured archaeon. RNAcentral describes it as "bacterial SSU rRNA". It matches the Rfam family "Archaeal small subunit ribosomal RNA", at positions 85 to 879 of the family's 1478-position model. The record is from RNAcentral.